This 497-nucleotide ribosomal RNA is filed under the name uncultured bacterium. Its description in RNAcentral is "partial 16S ribosomal RNA". It matches the Rfam family "Bacterial small subunit ribosomal RNA", at positions 28 to 507 of the family's 1533-position model. The record is from RNAcentral.
GAUGAACGCUGGCGGCGUGCCUAAUACAUGCAAGUCGAGCGAACAGAUGAGGAGCUUGCUCCUCUGACGUUAGCGGCGGACGGGUGAGUAACACGUGGAUAACCUACCUAUAAGACUGGGAUAACUUCGGGAAACCGGAGCUAAUACCGGAUCAUAUAUUGAACCGCAUGGUUCAAUAGUGAAAGACGGUUUUGCUGUCCCUUAUAGAUGGAUCCGCGCCGCAUUAGCUAGUUGGUAAGGUAACGGCUUACCAAGGCAACGAUGCGUAGCCGACCUGAGAGGGUGAUCGGCCACACUGGAACUGAGACACGGUCCAGACUCCUAAGGGAGGCAGCAGUAGGGAAUAUUCCGCAAUGGGCGAAAGACUGACGGAGCAACGCCGCGUGAGUGAUGAAGGUCUUCGGAUCGUAAAACUCUGUUAUUAGGGAAGAACAAAUGUGUAAGUAAAUAUGCACGUCUUGACGGUACCUAAUCAGAAAGCCACGGCUAACUACGUG